AUUGAACGCUGGCGGCAUGCCUUACACAUGCAAGUCGAACGGUAACAGGUCUUCGGUUGCUGACGAGUGGCGAACGGGUGAGUAAUACAUCGGAACGUGCCCGAUCGUGGGGGAUAACGAAGCGAAAGCUUUGCUAAUACCUCAUACGAUCUACGGAUGAAAGCGGGGGAUCUCCGGACCUCGCGCGGACGGAGCGGCCGAUGGCAGAUUAGGUAGUUGGUGGGGUAAAAGCUUACCAAGCCGACGAUCUGUAGCUGGUCUGAGAGGAUGAUCAGCCACACUGGGACUGAGACACGGCCCAGACUCCUACGGGAGGCAGCAGUGGGGAAUUUUGGACAAUGGGCGCAAGCCUGAUCCAGCCAUGCCGCGUGCAGGAUGAAGGCCUUCGGGUUGUAAACUGCUUUUGUACGGAACGAAAAGGUGCCUUCUAAUAAAGGGCGCUCAUGACGGUACCGUAAGAAUAAGCACCGGCUAACUACGUG
This 482-nucleotide ribosomal RNA is filed under the name uncultured bacterium. Its description in RNAcentral is "partial 16S ribosomal RNA". It matches the Rfam family "Bacterial small subunit ribosomal RNA", at positions 30 to 507 of the family's 1533-position model. The record is from RNAcentral.